GGGCCUAUAGCUCAGCUGGUUAGAGCGCACGCCUGAUAAGCGUGAGGUCGAUGGUUCGAGUCCAUUUAGCCCACCA
Molecule: transfer RNA, 76 nt
Filed under: Bacillus obstructivus
Lineage: Bacteria; Bacillati; Bacillota; Bacilli; Caryophanales; Bacillaceae
Description: tRNA-Ile
Rfam family: tRNA
About the family: Transfer RNA (tRNA) molecules are approximately 80 nucleotides in length. Their secondary structure includes four short double-helical elements and three loops (D, anti-codon, and T loops). Further hydrogen bonds mediate the characteristic L-shaped molecular structure. tRNAs have two regions of fundamental functional importance: the anti-codon, which is responsible for specific mRNA codon recognition, and the 3' end, to which the tRNAs corresponding amino acid is attached (by aminoacyl-tRNA synthetases). tRNAs cope with the degeneracy of the genetic code in two manners: having more than one tRNA (with a specific anti-codon) for a particular amino acid; and 'wobble' base-pairing, i.e. permitting non-standard base-pairing at the 3rd anti-codon position.
Source: RNAcentral